This is a long non-coding RNA of Xiphophorus hellerii (green swordtail), 144 nucleotides long. RefSeq lists it as uncharacterized. The record is from RefSeq and is a predicted model, not a curated record. Lineage: Eukaryota; Metazoa; Chordata; Actinopteri; Cyprinodontiformes; Poeciliidae. The transcript has 3 exons.
GCCAUGCUGUGGUGGCGUAGGGGAUAGUGCAACCCAUGUUUGGAGGCCUUAAGUCCUUGACGCAGCCGUCACGGGUUCGAUUCCCGGACCCGGCAAUAUUUGCCGCAUGUCUUCCCCACCUUCCUUCCCCGUUUCCUGUCAGUC